CCUACGGGAGGCAGCAGUGAGGAAUAUUGGUCAAUGGACGCAAGUCUGAACCAGCCAUGCCGCGUGCAGGAAGACGGCUCUAUGAGUUGUAAACUGCUUUUGUACAAGGGUAAACCUGAAUACGUGUUUUGAGCUGAAAGUACUGUACGAAUAAGGAUCGGCUAACUCCGUGCCAGCAGCCGCGGUAAUACGGCGGAUCCAAGCGUUAUCCGGAUUUAUUGGGUUUAAAGGGUGCGUAGGCGGAUUGAUAAGUUAGAGGUGAAAUGUCCGGGCUUAACUCGGGAACUGCCUCUAAUACUGUUGUUCUUGAGAGUAGAUGCGGUAGGCGGAAUGUAUGGUGUAGCGGUGAAAUGCUUAGAGAUCAUACAGAACACCGAUUGCGAAGGCAGCUUACCAAUCUAUAUCUGACGUUGAUGCUCGAAAGUGUGGGUAUCAAACAGGAUUAGAUACCCCGGUAGUC
This 460-nucleotide ribosomal RNA is filed under the name uncultured bacterium. Its description in RNAcentral is "partial 16S ribosomal RNA". It matches the Rfam family "Bacterial small subunit ribosomal RNA", at positions 338 to 795 of the family's 1533-position model. The record is from RNAcentral.